AUACAGUUGCAUGCUUCGCCGACCUGCGGCAGGACAUUA
RNAcentral lists this ribosomal RNA (39 nucleotides) under uncultured Cenococcum. RNAcentral's name for it is "partial 18S ribosomal RNA". The record is from RNAcentral. Lineage: Eukaryota; Fungi; Ascomycota; Dothideomycetes; Gloniales; Gloniaceae.